UCAUCCAGCAUAGACAACAAGUAUUCAGAUAAUAUGUACACAUAGCAUGUAGUUUAUAUAAAAUACUUCAUAUCUAUGUGUAAGAUGAAAGGGACUAUGCACUCACCUGAAAGGUGGUGACUUAGCACCCGGACAGCGCUUCGAUACUCUGAAAACAAUUUCCUUCGAUAUAACCUAGUAUCAACACCACUAGGGUUUAGUCUAACGAUAACCGCGACUAAUUAAUAGUCUAGCUAUUAUUAUUAUUAUAUAAGCGUUAAAUAACACUCAAUAUAACUCAUAAUAAUAUCCCAAAUAACUAUUUUAAAGACCUAAUAACAUUACUAUAUCGAAACAUAAGCUACACUAAAGAUAGGGUAGGCGUAGCUCACUAACAACGGGUUUUCUCGAAAAUCGGGCUUCGCUGGAGCAGCGUUUCCGAGCUGAAAGACCCUUUUUCUUAGGACUUUGGGAGCCUCGGGGCUUCCUUUGGGUGCUAGGGGGUUUACAUAGGCUUUAGGGGGUUAGGGAUGCUUAGAGAGAGAGUUUAGAGAGAGAAAGAAGAGGGUUGAGGGGUGAGGAAGUUGGAAUGCCUGGCACCUCUAUUUAUAGGCGUGCUGACUCCCCUACUCGCCGAGUUGGUACAUGUGGUGGCCUUCUGGUGGUGCCACGUGUCCAAUUCUUGUGGUGCCACGUCACCCCUUAUUGCGUAUCAGCCUUCAAACUUAGAAAAAUCAUAACUCUCACAUACGAGCUCUGUUUUUGACGUUCUUUAUAUCCACGCAUAGGUAAAAUCUUGAUCUACAACUUUCGUUUAGACUCCGUCGGCUAAUUCUCGACCGAUCUCAAAUUUAACAGUAGGAGGCAUUUAGAUUGUUAAACGACCACGAAGAAUUCGUAUCUCCUUCAUACAGACUCCGUUUUCGUCCAUCUUUUUACCGUUGAGUUUCUAUUAAUGAGAUCUUCAACUCUCAUUUAGGUUGCGUAAGCCAAAAACCGCUCGAACUAAAAUUCGAGUUUCUGGCUGUACACUACUAAGCCGAAUCUUAGAAAAAUCAUAACUUCUUCAUACAAAGUCAGAUUUGGGCGUUCUUUUUAUGGAUUUUCUCGGUUUAACAUAUUCUAUGACUUUCGUUUAGAUCACUAAGGCUAAAUCUUUCUCUAUCUUAAAUUCACUUUUUACACUUCCCGGUGCUGUGCUGGUUCCGUCGCGAAACUUCGACGGGUCAUAACUUCUUCGUUAUAACUCGGAUUUCGGCAUUCUUUAUAUGUAUGGAAACCUUGAGACAUAUACUACAACUUGGUUAAGACUAUUUAUUAUAAAUAAUAUUUUGCCAAAAAUUCGUUUUCGACACUUAUCUCCUCUAAAUUUACUAGCCCGGAUCUGCGGGUGUUACAACUAUCUCCCCCUUAGGAUGAUUACGUCCCGGAAUCAUCAACGAAACAAGAUUGUAUAACUACUCCAUACGUUAUCUCUUCAUCCUAGGUAAUAACUCUAACUUCUAUGUUGCUUCGAACGAGUAUCUAACUCUUGGACUCCUUGACUGCAGGCGGUGCUCGGUCUUGCACCUGCUCGUUAGACUUUCAAUCAUGACCUUCGUGUCACAACCUCUUUCUUCAUCAGAGAAUCCUUCUUCUUCUUAACAAACUUAGGAUAAGUUACUUUGAUUACUACAAUUGACCGAUGUGUCAUAUUCUAAUGACCUAUCAUCGUAUGUAGCAACGCUUAGACUCAGGUCUCUUAGAGUCAAAUUCCGGAAUGGAAUAUACCUUCCUUCGUGGUCUAAUGUGAUAUAAUCACAUUUUAACAUGUAGCAUUUCUAGCUACCAACAUCUUUAACAACGAGCGUGAUACUUCUAUUGAUCACUUUGAUUUCAAUCGUUUGGUUUAAGUCGAAAGCUACAUCAAACUUGGUUCUCUGAACCGCGUAACCUACUCAUCGUAGUUGGACUCAAUGUGAUAUGACCAUUAGGGUCGGGAUAACAACAAUCUUCUUAGUCUUUACCGAAACAAUGGUAACGACAUACUUGAAUAAAACGAAAUCAAUUACUAGCUUCUUGGUAACCUUGUGACUUUCCCUGAUCCAAGCGUGAGUCCUGUGCUUCCGGUAGUAUAUGCAUCUACUACCUUUCACACCUACUCAUACUCAUCCCAAGUAUUGUCUCACAGUACCCAAUUCACCAUAAAAAAUCACAUAACAGUCUAACACACCAGAUAACGAAGGUUUUAUAUUAUUCCUUGAAACUACUACACAGGUGUUCAAGUUCAUCCUAGACUAUGCCUCUAAUAGGCUAAGUUCAUCCUAGACUAUGCCUCUAAUAGGCUACACCACGUGGUACUAUCUCCAUGACCACUUCAUAACUUCAUCUUCGGUCAUCCGUCCUUACUCUUGAUUCCUUGCAUUGCCAGCUGCUUUGUCAAGGAUGCUCCUUAGCUUUGGAGGUGCAUUCGCUCCUACUGCUACACAUUUUUCUUCGGGCAGUCCCUAGAUAAAUGUCCUUCUUUGUUACAUCCAUAGCACACCUUACUCUUAGACGUGCACUUGCUGGCGUAAUGCCCCAUCCUUCCACAUUUGUAGCAAGUCACCUUCCUGUCGUAUCCCUCAUAGUGCUUUAGCAGUACAUUUGGCGUUGUUGCUCUCAUCGAACAAUCUUGCUUGAAGUGUCCCUCUCCACUACACUUAAGGCAAACUUCCUCCCUGGUUGAGCAUUUGUGGGCAUUAUGACCAAUCUUCCAGCAUUUAAAGCAGGUCACUUCCUUAGGGCAUUUCCUAUUACACCAUUUUGCUUUACGUCUUCCUCCUCUAGAUUGUGAAGAUAAGUUUUUCCUGUUGGACCUUGAAGAUCCCUCAAAUUUCCUCUUCUUGCCAACUUCAACUUUGUUGGCGAUCCUAUCGUUGAUCUUUUCUUCGACAGACUUAGCAACCCAGAUGGUUGCCUCAAGAGCGGGUGCCUGGCGUACUAGCACAGUAAGUUCGUCCUUACUUUGUUGAAUUAAGCACCUUGUUUCUCUCAUCUAUUGAUCCAACAUCAUCCGUACCAUUGCCUGUACUCCUUCCAUCGUGAUUGGUUCGGGUGCAUCUGCUACUUCUGGUGUACGUUCAAUCACUUGUGGCUUAGGCUGUGGGUUACUAUCUCCGAAUCCGCUUUGAGUGUUCAUCAUGUCGAUCUAUAUAUCGAAUUUAGAUGUCUGGUGUAGAGUGACGAGAAUUUAGAUAGAGAAGAUUUUAUUUACGAUCAACGUGUAAUUCUCCUUAUCUCUCCGAAAAAUUAUAUGCCAGUUCUAAUACCAUGAUUAAACGUUUAGAAACCUAAACACAAAAAGUUUCCAGAUCCGGUCGGCAAUAGACCAUAGAUCCGAACAAAUAAUAGCAUCAAUAUAGCUAUCACAUAAAACAUUUAGCACAUAAAAGCAUUUUAGGCAUCAUUCCUAAAAUAAACUAGUGUUUGUGUCAAUUCAGGUGUACUACNGCUAGUGCUCACACCUCACAAUCAUCGCUUAGCAUUCUAAGUUUAAGUCUAGAAAUAAAUCCAUAUUCCUAGUUCGCUUAAACUAAUGCUCUGAUACCAACUGUGACAUCCCCAUUUUCACGGCCAGAAAAGACCGAUGUUGUUUAUGCUUUAUAAAAAUCAGAGUACUUCAUUUUAUAAAAAUGUUGCGGAAUUUGUUCCCAGAAAAACAUGGUAAAUACGUUAUUAAAACAUUUUCGAAGAAACGUAUUUAUUUCAUUUUAAAACGUUUGGGAUGUCAUCGUUAAUACAGAAACAUAAGCAUAAACAGAACUUACAAUUAUUUACACUAGUGAUCUACAUCUCUUUAAAUCUCUCAGUGUAAUGUGACUUCAUAUCAACACCUGUGAUAUAAAUAAACUGAGUGGGUCAGGUUGGGAAACCUGGUGAGUACAUAGGGUUUUCAACCCACAAUAAUAUAAUUAUUAUGUUUAAACAAUCAAACAAUCAACCCAAUUACCCAUACCCAUUAUCUUCUUUACUCUUAAGGAUUUAUCCUAAGAGUCAUCUAUCCUGCAUUCGUUUAUUCCGAAGUCCCUUACUUCCAGGGUUAUAGGAAUGGCACUAAAUCCAUAGCUGCCGACGUUCGUUCGUAAAGCACUAAAUCCAUAGCUGCUAUAUCCUACUCAUCGGGUACUAAAUCCAUGGCUACCAGUGUUUAAUACGUACUAAUUCCAUAGAUACCAAUUCCUAACAGGUACUAAAUCCAUAGCUACCAGCGUCUAACUAAUAGGUACUAAGUCCAUAGCUACCAAUUCCUAACAGGUACUAAAUCCAUAGCUACCAACGUCUAAUAGGUACUAAGUCCAUAGCUAGCGGUGUUUGUCCCAUAGGCACUACGUCAUCUUCUAUCUCUCAUCAUUCAUCUACCCAUCUUAUACCCAAAAUAUUCGUAUAUAUAAAAUACGUAUACAGUUUAAAUCCUUUAAAACAUGUAUAAAACGUUCAUCCAGCAUAGACAACAAGUAUUCAGAUAAUAUGUACACAUAGCACGUAGUUUAUAUAAAAUACUUCAUAUCUAUGUGUAAGAUGAAAGAGACUAUGCACUCACCUGAAAGGUGGUGACUUAGCACUCGGACAGCGCUUCGAUACUCUCAAAACAAUUUCCUUCGAUAUAACCUAGUAUCAACACCACUAGGGUUUAGUCUAACGAUAACCGCGACUAAUUAAUAGUCUAGCUAUUAUUAUUAUUAUAUAAGCAUUAAAUAACACUCAUUAUAACUCAUAAUAAUAGCCCAAAUAAUUAUUUUAAAGACCUAAUAACAUUACUAUAUCGAAACAUAAGCUACGCUAAAGAUAGGGUAGGCGUAGCUCACUUACAGCGGGUUUUCUCGAAAACCGGGCUUCGCUGGAGCAACGUUUCCGAGCCGAAAGACCCUUUUUCUCGAGACUUCGGGAGCCUCAGGGCUUCCUUCGGGUGCUAGGGGGUUU
RNAcentral lists this long non-coding RNA (4920 nucleotides) under Lactuca sativa (garden lettuce). Its description in RNAcentral is "long non-coding RNA (LSAT_LNC009419)". The record is from RNAcentral. Lineage: Eukaryota; Viridiplantae; Streptophyta; Magnoliopsida; Asterales; Asteraceae.